ACGAACUCUGGUAUUGAUUGGUGCUUGCAUCAUGAUUUACAUUUGAGUGAGUGGCGAACUGGUGAGUAACACGUGGGAAACCUGCCCAGAAGCGGGGGAUAACACCUGGAAACAGAUGCUAAUACCGCAUAACAACUUGGACCGCAUGGUCCGAGCUUGAAAGAUGGCUUUGGCUAUCACUUUUGGAUGGUCCCGCGGCGUAUUAGCUAGAUGGUGGGGUAACGGCUCACCAUGGCAAUGAUACGUAGCCGACCUGAGAGGGUAAUCGGCCACAUUGGGACUGAGACACGGCCCAAACUCCUACGGGAGGCAGCAGUAGGGAAUCUUCCACAAUGGACGAAAGUCUGAUGGAGCAACGCCGCGUGAGUGAAGAAGGGUUUCGGCUCGUAAAACUCUGUUGUUAAAGAAGAACAUAUCUGAGAGUAACUGUUCAGGUAUUGACGGUAUUUAACCAGAAAGCCACGGCUAACUACGUGCCAGCAGCCGCGGUAAUACGUAGGUGGCAAGCGUUGUCCGGAUUUAUUGGGCGUAAAGCGAGCGCAGGCGGUUUUUUAAGUCUGAUGUGAAAGCCUUCGGCUCAACCGAAGAAGUGCAUCGGAAACUGGGAAACUUGAGUGCAGAAGAGGACAGUGGAACUCCAUGUGUAGCGGUGAAAUGCGUAGAUAUAUGGAAAGAACACCAGUGGCGAAGGCGGCUGUCUGGUCUGUAACUGACGCUGAGGCUCGAAAGUAUGGGUAGCAAACAGGAUUAGAUACCCUGGUAGUCCAUACCGUAAACGAUGAAUGCUAAGUGUUGGAGGGUUUCCGCCCUUCAGUGCUGCAGCUAACGCAUUAAGCAUUCCGCCUGGGGAGUACGGCCGCAAGGCUGAAACUCAAAGGAAUUGACGGGGGCCCGCACAAGCGGUGGAGCAUGUGGUUUAAUUCGAAGCUACGCGAAGAACCUUACCAGGUCUUGACAUACUAUGCAAAUCUAAGAGAUUAGACGUUCCCUUCGGGGACAUGGAUACAGGUGGUGCAUGGUUGUCGUCAGCUCGUGUCGUGAGAUGUUGGGUUAAGUCCCGCAACGAGCGCAACCCUUAUUAUCAGUUGCCAGCAUUAAGUUGGGCACUCUGGUGAGACUGCCGGUGACAAACCGGAGGAAGGUGGGGAUGACGUCAAAUCAUCAUGCCCCUUAUGACCUGGGCUACACACGUGCUACAAUGGAUGGUACAACGAGUUGCGAACUCGCGAGAGUAAGCUAAUCUCUUAAAGCCAUUCUCAGUUCGGAUUGUAGGCUGCAACUCGCCUACAUGAAGUCGGAAUCGCUAGUAAUCGCGGAUCAGCAUGCCGCGGUGAAUACGUUCCCGGGCCUUGUACACACCGCCCGUCACACCAUGAGAGUUUGUAACACCCAAAGUCGGUGGGGUAACCU
This 1410-nucleotide ribosomal RNA is filed under the name Enterococcus durans. Its description in RNAcentral is "bacterial SSU rRNA". It matches the Rfam family "Bacterial small subunit ribosomal RNA", at positions 66 to 1441 of the family's 1533-position model. The record is from RNAcentral. Lineage: Bacteria; Bacillati; Bacillota; Bacilli; Lactobacillales; Enterococcaceae.